AUUGAACGCUGGCAGCAUGCCUUACACAUGCAAGUCGAACGGUAACAGGUCUUCGGAUGCUGACGAGUGGCGAACGGGUGAGUAAUACAUCGGAACGUGCCUAGUAGUGGGGGAUAACUACUCGAAAGAGUGGCUAUACCGCAUGAGAUCUACGGAUGAAAGCAGGGGAUCGCAAGACCUUGUGCUACUAGAGCGGCCGAUGGCAGAUUAGGUAGUUGGUGGGAUAAAAGCUUACCAAGCCGACGAUCUGUAGCUGGUCUGAGAGGACGAUCAGCCACACUGGGACUGGGACACGGCCCAGACUCCUACGGGAGGCAGCAGUGGGGAAUUUUGGACAAUGGGCGCAAGCCUGAUCCAGCAAUGCCGCGUGCAGGAUGAAGGCCUUCGGGUUGUAAACUGCUUUUGUACGGAACGAAAAGCCCCGGGUUAAUACCCUGGGGUCAUGACGGUACCGUAAGAAUAAGCACCGGCUAACUACGUGCCAGCCGCCGCCGUAA
Molecule: ribosomal RNA, 497 nt
Filed under: uncultured bacterium
Lineage: Bacteria
Description: partial 16S ribosomal RNA
Rfam family: Bacterial small subunit ribosomal RNA
Source: RNAcentral